GACGAACGCUGGCGGCGUGCCUAACACAUGCAAGUCGAACGGAAAGGCCUUUUUCGGGGGGUACUCGAGUGGCGAACGGGCGAGUAACACGUGAGUAACCCGCCCUCGACUUUGGGAUAAGUUCAGGAAACUGGGGCCAAUCCCGGAUAGGACCUCCGGCCUCCGGGUGGGGGCUGGAAAGCUUCGGCGGUUGGGCGUGGACUCGCGGCGUAUCCGCUUGUGGGUGGGGUAGUGGCUUACCAAGGCCUUGGCGGGAAGCCGCACUGAGGGGGUGAGAGGCGGCCUUGAGACUGAGGUGCGGCCCAGACUGGUACGGGAGGCAGCAGUGGGGAAUAUUGCACAAUGGGUAGCGGGCGGGUGCAGCAACGCCGUGUGCGGGAUGACGGCUUUCGGGUUGUAGACCACUAUCGCGCAUGACGAAGCUUUGUGUGACGGUAGUGAAUAAAGAAGCACCGGCUAACUACGUG
Molecule: ribosomal RNA, 467 nt
Filed under: uncultured bacterium
Lineage: Bacteria
Description: partial 16S ribosomal RNA
Rfam family: Bacterial small subunit ribosomal RNA
Source: RNAcentral